CUGCCGGUCUUAAGCCGGAGGAAGGUGGGGAUGAUGUCAAAGUCAGCAUGGCCUUCAUAUCCUGGGCUACACACACGCUACAAUGGCCAACACAAUAGGUUGCUAAGCCGCGAGGUGGCGCCAAUCCAAGCCAAAACUUCCCUCAGUUCAGAUUGCAGGCUGCAACCCGCCUGCAUGAAGUUGGAGUUGCUAGUAAACGCAGGUCAGCCAUACUGCGUUGAAUACGUUCCCGGGCUU
RNAcentral lists this ribosomal RNA (237 nucleotides) under uncultured Leptolinea sp. RNAcentral describes it as "partial 16S ribosomal RNA". It matches the Rfam family "Bacterial small subunit ribosomal RNA", at positions 1149 to 1381 of the family's 1533-position model. Lineage: Bacteria; Bacillati; Chloroflexota; Anaerolineae; Anaerolineales; Anaerolineaceae. The record is from RNAcentral.